CAACUUUCAACAACGGAUCUCUUGGCUCUCGCAUCGAUGAAGAACGCAGCGAAAUGCGAUACGUAAUGUGAAUUGCAGAAUUCAGUGAAUCAUCGAAUCUUUGAACGCACCUUGCGCCCCUUGGCAUUCCGAGGGGCACACCCGUUUGAGUGUCAUGA
This 158-nucleotide ribosomal RNA is filed under the name Russula redolens. RNAcentral describes it as "5.8S ribosomal RNA". It matches the Rfam family "5.8S ribosomal RNA". Rfam says of the family: 5.8S ribosomal RNA (5.8S rRNA) is a component of the large subunit of the eukaryotic ribosome. It is transcribed by RNA polymerase I as part of the 45S precursor that also contains 18S and 28S rRNA. Lineage: Eukaryota; Fungi; Basidiomycota; Agaricomycetes; Russulales; Russulaceae. The record is from RNAcentral. RNAcentral also lists the same sequence under 1 other name.